CUGUGGGAGCUGUGCCAUUAGCUGCCAGAGCAUUCCUCAUUUGCCCCCUUCAAAAUCUGGGUGACUUAUUGGUAGGAAUUAGAAUCUAAAUGGAUCAGGCCCUAUGUCUCCCUUUCUCCACCUGCCUUUUUCUGUUUUGCUUAUAUACAUGGUUUGCCUUUUACUUCAUUCAGCACCCAGCCCAAAGUGAGGUCUUUGCAUUCCCACUGGAGUCAUUAGCUGCUUGCUAAGCAUUAACGCUGGGACUGUGGAGUGGAGAAACCCAACUGGCUGUCUGGCAUGGUGCCUGCUGCGGCUGCAGAAAUGGAGGGAAGCUCGAGUGUUUCAUGCACAGGCCAGUCCCACGAACUCUGAGGAUGGAGGCACUGAUGGGAAUGUGUCACUGCAUUCCCCCCAGGAGCGCUCCCCAUGCACCGCAGAGGAGCCAAUGCUGUAAAUCCCAUCCUGGUGGUCUGUUGUCGCACCUUGCCCCUGGGACGACGGUCUGUGAGAGGAUGCUGGAGCCCUGAUCCUGACACUGCAUUGCAUGGCGUGCUGAGCCUUGGAAAUUUGGGCUGGGAGGGCUCUUUGGGACUCCAGUGUUCAGAGACGCUUGCAAGGUAAGGGCAGGAUGCAGAGGACCCUGAAACCAGUGGGAGGGUGUGUGCUGACUUCAGGCUGUUCUCGGCAUGGUCAGGGUGAACACGUGUGUGAGCAAGCGAGGCCCUGUCUGCCUGCUUGUGUUUUUUGCCAAUGAUGAGUUAUGAACGUAUUUCAAAAUGUCAUUCAGAAGUGGUGGGAGGAACUUGUUUCUCGGCUUGAGAGAGCAGUUGGGUUUGGUAGCAGAAAGCCUGUCAAAUAGUAAGCCAGAAAGUUGGAGAUUUUGAGGCGAAGUACAGAGAAGCAGUUGUACACGUUGGAGUCAGUCACAGCGCCUGCUUAUUGCUCUG
This 929-nucleotide long non-coding RNA is filed under the name Numida meleagris (helmeted guineafowl). RNAcentral's name for it is "lncRNA (ENSNMEG00000006544.1)". The record is from RNAcentral. Lineage: Eukaryota; Metazoa; Chordata; Aves; Galliformes; Numididae.